This 374-nucleotide ribosomal RNA is filed under the name uncultured organism. Its description in RNAcentral is "partial 16S ribosomal RNA". It matches the Rfam family "Bacterial small subunit ribosomal RNA", at positions 527 to 896 of the family's 1533-position model. The record is from RNAcentral.
GUAGGUGGCAAGCGUUGUCCGGAAUUAUUGGGCGUAAAGCGCGCGCAGGCGGUCCUUUAAGUCUGAUGUGAAAGCCCACGGCUCAACCGUGGAGGGUCAUUGGAAACUGGGGGACUUGAGUACAGAAGAGGAAAGCGGAAUUCCAAGUGUAGCGGUGAAAUGCGUAGAGAUUUGGAGGAACACCAGUGGCGAAGGCGGCUUUCUGGUCUGUAACUGACGCUGAGGCGCGAAAGCGUGGGGAGCAAACAGGGAUUAGAUACCCUGGUAGUCCACGCCGUAAACGAUGAGUGCUAAGUGUUAGGGGGUUUCCGCCCCCUUAGUGCUGCAGCUAACGCAUUAAGCACUCCGCCCUGGGGAGUACGGCCGCAAGGCUG